AUGCAGUCGAACGGCAGCACGGAGCUUGCUCUGGUGGCGAGUGGCGAACGGGUGAGUAAUAUAUCGGAACGUACCCUAGAGUGGGGGAUAACGUAGCGAAAGUUACGCUAAUACCGCAUACGAUCUAAGGAUGAAAGUGGGGGAUCGCAAGACCUCAUGCUCGUGGAGCGGCCGAUAUCUGAUUAGCUAGUUGGUAGGGUAAAAGCCUACCAAGGCAUCGAUCAGUAGCUGGUCUGAGAGGACGACCAGCCACACUGGAACUGAGACACGGUCCAGACUCCUACGGGAGGCAGCAGUGGGGAAUUUUGGACAAUGGGCGAAAGCCUGAUCCAGCAAUGCCGCGUGAGUGAAGAAGGCCUUCGGGUUGUAAAGCUCUUUUGUCAGGGAAGAAACGGUGAGAGCUAAUAUCUCUUGCUAAUGACGGUACCUGAAGAAUAAGCACCGGCUAACUACGUGCCAGCAGCCGCGGUAAUACGUAGGGUGCAAGCGUUAAUCGGAAUUACUGGGCGUAAAGCGUGCGCAGGCGGUUUUGUAAGUCUGAUGUGAAAUCCCCGGGCUCAACCUGGGAAUUGCAUUGGAGACUGCAAGGCUAGAAUCUGGCAGAGGGGGGUAGAAUUCCACGUGUAGCAGUGAAAUGCGUAGAUAUGUGGAGGAACACCGAUGGCGAAGGCAGCCCCCUGGGUCAAGAUUGACGCUCAUGCACGAAAGCGUGGGGAGCAAACAGGAUUAGAUACCCUGGUAGUCCACGCCCUAAACGAUGUCUACUAGUUGUCGGGUCUUAAUUGACUUGGUAACGCAGCUAACGCGUGAAGUAGACCGCCUGGGGAGUACGGUCGCAAGAUUAAAACUCAAAGGAAUUGACGGGGACCCGCACAAGCGGUGGAUGAUGUGGAUUAAUUC
Molecule: ribosomal RNA, 900 nt
Filed under: Janthinobacterium lividum
Lineage: Bacteria; Pseudomonadati; Pseudomonadota; Betaproteobacteria; Burkholderiales; Oxalobacteraceae
Description: bacterial SSU rRNA
Rfam family: Bacterial small subunit ribosomal RNA
Source: RNAcentral